CUCCGCGUAAAUAGCACUCCGCUCUCCGUGGUGCACUGGUGGCGUGUGUGGACACCUGGUCAGCUGUAGCAAAUUACAGCUGCGGUUGGGAACCUCGCGCUGCUCUGUGGUGUCUCCGCUGUGCGUAAAGGCCGCCGUUUGCGUGGUCUUGUGGCAUUUGAUGUUCGGGUAAGUGGCAUGUCUCUCUCUUUGACCCAUUGGGCUGUACCCAGCCAGUCUAAUGCUCUCUC
This is a long non-coding RNA of Chelmon rostratus (copperband butterflyfish), 230 nucleotides long. RefSeq lists it as uncharacterized. The transcript is spliced from 3 exons. NCBI's taxonomy places the organism in Eukaryota, Metazoa, Chordata, Actinopteri, Chaetodontiformes, Chaetodontidae. The record is from RefSeq and is a predicted model, not a curated record.